UACGUAGGGUGCAAGCGUUGUCCGGAAUUAUUGGGCGUAAAGAGCUCGUAGGCGGUUUGUCGCGUCUGCUGUGAAAACGCGAGGCUCAACCUCGCGCCUGCAGUGGGUACGGGCAGACUAGAGUGCGGUAGGGGAGAUUGGAAUUCCUGGUGUAGCGGUGAAAUGCGCAGAUAUCAGGAGGAACACCGGUGGCGAAGGCGGUUCUCUGGGCCUGUACUGACGCUGAGGAGCGAAAGCGUGGGGAGCGAACAGG
This 253-nucleotide ribosomal RNA is filed under the name uncultured bacterium. RNAcentral's name for it is "partial 16S ribosomal RNA". It matches the Rfam family "Bacterial small subunit ribosomal RNA", at positions 524 to 776 of the family's 1533-position model. The record is from RNAcentral.